Molecule: ribosomal RNA, 253 nt
Filed under: uncultured bacterium
Lineage: Bacteria
Description: partial 16S ribosomal RNA
Rfam family: Bacterial small subunit ribosomal RNA
Source: RNAcentral
UACGUAGGGUGCAAGCGUUGUCCGGAAUUAUUGGGCGUAAAGAGCGCGUAGGCGGUCUGUUACGUCGGCUGUGAAAACCUGGGGCUCAACCCCGGGCCUGCAACCGAUACGGGCAGACUAGAAUUCGGGAGGGGAGAGUGGAAUUCCUGGUGUAGCGGUGGAAUGCGCAGAUAUCAGGAGGAACACCGGUGGCGAAAGCGGGUCUCUGGGCCGAGAUUGACGCUGAGGAGCGAAAGCGUGGGGAGCGAACAGG